UGCCUGCUUCCCAGCAAGCCUCAGCUCUGUUCCCUCUGCCUGAGGCGGGAAGGAGGGGCUGAGGCUGCCCUUCUCUCUAGGCUGGUGUUGCUCUCCUCCGACUUCUCCGCAGCAGCCUGGCGGCAUGUGAGGCACUGUGUAGCACAGCAGAUUCCCUGCUGUAUUCAGUCAUACGACGUAUGAUGCUUUGUGGAUGAAUUGGGUUUGAAUAGUGAAUAAGUCUCUUGGCUGUAGGACUCCUGCUGUGCAGCAGAAGCUGGAAAGCGUGCAGUGAAUAAGGCAGGAAACUGGGACAACAAAUGAUCUUGUGCUUAAGGCAACUGAAUGCCACCAUGGAGAACUGAAGCCAGUGACACAACGGCUCGGCAUCGCUGAAUUACAGAAACAACUCUCAAACUGGAGCUUGCGUGUUGCAUCACUUAAUUUUGACCCCCUGGGCAGAGAUAAUUUCACUCCUGUAUGUAGUCCAGAGCACUAGUCUCUGGCUUAAUGACAAAGGUAAAAUUACAGUAUUUUUUCCCUUAUUAAACUCUGCAGAUCCUUCACUGCUA
Long non-coding RNA from Alligator mississippiensis (American alligator), 551 nucleotides. RefSeq lists it as uncharacterized. Lineage: Eukaryota; Metazoa; Chordata; Crocodylia; Alligatoridae. The transcript is spliced from 3 exons. The record is from RefSeq and is a predicted model, not a curated record.